RNAcentral lists this ribosomal RNA (354 nucleotides) under uncultured bacterium. RNAcentral's name for it is "bacterial SSU rRNA". It matches the Rfam family "Bacterial small subunit ribosomal RNA", at positions 8 to 353 of the family's 1533-position model. The record is from RNAcentral.
AGAGUUUGAUCCUGGCUCAGGAUGAACGCUAGCUACAGGCUUAACACAUGCAAGUCGAGGGGAAACGACAUCGAAAGCUUGCUUUUGAUGGGCGUCGACCGGCGCACGGGUGAGUAACGCGUAUCCAACCUGCACCACUUGGGGAUAACCUUGCGAAAGUAAGACUAAUACCCAAUGAUAUCUCCAGAAGACAUCUGAAAGAGAUUAAAGAUUUAUCGGUGAUGGAUGGGGAUGCGUCUGAUUAGCUUGUUGGCGGGGUAACGGCCCACCAAGGCGACGAUCAGUAGGGGUUCUGAGAGGAAGGUCCCCCACAUUGGAACUGAGACACGGUCCAAACUCCUACGGGAAGCAGCA